ACGGGAGGCAGCAGUGGGGAAUAUUGGACAAUGGGGGAAACCCUGAUCCAGCGACGCCGCGUGAGUGAAGAAGUAUUUCGGUAUGUAAAGCUCUAUCAGCAGGGAAGAUGAUGACGGUACCUGACUAAGAAGCCCCGGCUAACUACGUGCCAGCAGCCGCGGUAAUACGUAGGGGGCAAGCGUUAUCCGGAUUUACUGGGUGUAAAGGGAGCGUAGGCGGCCAGACAAGUCAGAUGUGAAAACCCUGGGCUUAACCCGGGACCUGCAUUUGAAACUGUAGGGCUAGAGUACUGGAGAGGCAAGUGGAAUUCCUAGUGUAGCGGUGAAAUGCGUAGAUAUUAGGAAGAACACCAGUGGCGAAGGCGACUUGCUGGACAGAGACUGACGCUGAGGCUCGAAAGCGUGGGGAGCAAACAGGAUUAGAUACCCUGGUA
Molecule: ribosomal RNA, 434 nt
Filed under: uncultured Clostridium sp.
Lineage: Bacteria; Bacillati; Bacillota; Clostridia; Eubacteriales; Clostridiaceae
Description: partial 16S ribosomal RNA
Rfam family: Bacterial small subunit ribosomal RNA
Source: RNAcentral